CACACUAUCAUUAACUGAAUCCAUAGGUUAAUGAGGCGAACCGGGGGAACUGAAACAUCUAAGUACCCCGAGGAAAAGAAAUCAACCGAGAUUCCCCCAGUAGCGGCGAGCGAACGGGGAGGAGCCCAGAGCCUGAAUCAGCAUGUGUGUUAGUGGAAGCGUCUGGAAAGGCGCGCGAUACAGGGUGACAGCCCCGUACACAAAAGCGCAUGUGCUGUGAGCUCGAUGAGUAGGGCGGGACACGUGGUAUCCUGUCUGAAUAUGGGGGGACCAUCCUCCAAGGCUAAAUACUCCUGACUGACCGAUAGUGAACCAGUACCGUGAGGGAAAGGCGAAAAGAACCCCGGCGAGGGGAGUGAAAAAGAACCUGAAACCGUGUACGUACAAGCAGUGGGAGCACCCUUUGGGUGUGACUGCGUACCUUUUGUAUAAUGGGUCAGCGACUUAUAUUCUGUAGCAAGGUUAACCGAAUAGGGGAGCCGGAGGGAAACCGAGUCUUAACCGGGCGUUAAGUUGCAGGGUAUAGACCCGAAACCCGGUGAUCUAGCCAUGGGCAGGUUGAAGGUUGGGUAACACUAACUGGAGGACCGAACCGACUAAUGUUGAAAAAUUAGCGGAUGACCUGUGGCUGGGGGUGAAAGGCCAAUCAAACCGGGAGAUAGCUGGUUCUCCCCGAAAGCUAUUUAGGUAGCGCCUCGUGAAUUCAUCUCCGGGGGUAGAGCACUGUUUCGGCUAGGGGGCCAUCCCGGCUUACCAACCCGAUGCAAACUGCGAAUACCGGAGAAUGUUAUCACGGGAGACACACGGCGGGUGCUAACGUCCGUCGUGAAGAGGGAAACAACCCAGACCGCCAGCUAAGGUCCCAAAGUCAUGGUUAAGUGGGAAACGAUGUGGGAAGGCCCAGACAGCCAGGAUGUUGGCUUAGAAGCAGCCAUCAUUUAAAGAAAGCGUAAUAGCUCACUGGUCGAGUCGGCCUGCGCGGAAGAUGUAACGGGGCUAAACCAUGCACCGAAGCUGCGGCAGCGACACUGUGUGUUGUUGGGUAGGGGAGCGUUCUGUAAGCCUGUGAAGGUGUGUCGUGAGGCAUGCUGGAGGUAUCAGAAGUGCGAAUGCUGACAUAAGUAACGAUAAAGCGGGUGAAAAGCCCGCUCGCCGGAAGACCAAGGGUUCCUGUCCAACGUUAAUCGGGGCAGGGUGAGUCGACCCCUAAGGCGAGGCCGAAAGGCGUAGUCGAUGGGAAACGGGUUAAUAUUCCCGUACUUGGUGUUACUGCGAAGGGGGGACGGAGAAGGCUAUGUUGGCCGGGCGACGGUUGUCCCGGUUUAAGCGUGUAGGUGUGUGUUCCAGGUAAAUCCGGUUCACUUUAACACUGAGGCGUGACGACGAGGCACUACGGUGCUGAAGCAACAAAUGCCCUGCUUCCAGGAAAAGCCUCUAAGCAUCAGGUAACAUCAAAUCGUACCCCAAACCGACACAGGUGGUCAGGUAGAGAAUACCAAGGCGCUUGAGAGAACUCGGGUGAAGGAACUAGGCAAAAUGGUGCCGUAACUUCGGGAGAAGGCACGCUGACACGUAGGUGAAGUGAUUUACUCAUGGAGCUGAAGUCAGUCGAAGAUACCAGCUGGCUGCAACUGUUUAUUAAAAACACAGCACUGUGCAAACACGAAAGUGGACGUAUACGGUGUGACGCCUGCCCGGUGCCGGAAGGUUAAUUGAUGGGGUCAGCGCAAGCGAAGCUCCUGAUCGAAGCCCCGGUAAACGGCGGCCGUAACUAUAACGGUCCUAAGGUAGCGAAAUUCCUUGUCGGGUAAGUUCCGACCUGCACGAAUGGCGUAAUGAUGGCCAGGCUGUCUCCACCCGAGACUCAGUGAAAUUGAACUCGCUGUGAAGAUGCAGUGUACCCGCGGCAAGACGGAAAGACCCCGUGAACCUUUACUAUAGCUUGACACUGAACAUUGAGCCUUGAUGUGUAGGAUAGGUGGGAGGCUUUGAAGUGUGGACGCCAGUCUGCAUGGAGCCGACCUUGAAAUACCACCCUUUAAUGUUUGAUGUUCUAACGUGGACCCGUUACCCGGGUUGCGGACAGUGUCUGGUGGGUAGUUUGACUGGGGCGGUCUCCUCCUAAAGAGUAACGGAGGAGCACGAAGGUUGGCUAAUCCUGGUCGGACAUCAGGAGGUUAGUGCAAUGGCAUAAGCCAGCUUGACUGCGAGCGUGACGGCGCGAGCAGGUGCGAAAGCAGGUCAUAGUGAUCCGGUGGUUCUGAAUGGAAGGGCCAUCGCUCAACGGAUAAAAGGUACUCCGGGGAUAACAGGCUGAUACCGCCCAAGAGUUCAUAUCGACGGCGGUGUUUGGCACCUCGAUGUCGGCUCAUCACAUCCUGGGGCUGAAGUAGGUCCCAAGGGUAUGGCUGUUCGCCAUUUAAAGUGGUACGCGAGCUGGGUUUAGAACGUCGUGAGACAGUUCGGUCCCUAUCUGCCGUGGGCGCUGGAGAACUGAGGGGGGCUGCUCCUAGUACGAGAGGACCGGAGUGGACGCAUCACUGGUGUUCGGGUUGUCAUGCCAAUGGCACUGCCCGGUAGCUAAAUGCGGAAGAGAUAAGUGCUGAAAGCAUCUAAGCACGAAACUUGCCCCGAGAUGAGUUCUCCCUGAGACUUAGA
Molecule: ribosomal RNA, 2658 nt
Filed under: Salmonella enterica subsp. enterica serovar Enteritidis
Lineage: Bacteria; Pseudomonadati; Pseudomonadota; Gammaproteobacteria; Enterobacterales; Enterobacteriaceae
Description: partial 23S ribosomal RNA
Rfam family: Bacterial large subunit ribosomal RNA
Source: RNAcentral